GACGAACGCUGGCGGCGUGCCUAACACAUGCAAGUCGAGCGGAGUCGAUCGACGGAAGCCUUCGGGCGGAAGAUGGUUGACUUAGCGGCGGAUGGGUGAGUAACGCGUGGGCAACCUGCCUCGAAGACCGGGAUAACAGCCCGAAAGGGCUGCUAAUACCGGAUGUGGUCAAGGAUCCGCAUGGAUUUUUGAUUAAAGGGGAAACCCGUUUCGAGAUGGGCCCGCGUCCUAUCAGCUAGUUGGUGAGGUAAAAGCUCACCAAGGCGACGACGGGUAGCCGGCCUGAGAGGGUGACCGGCCACACUGGGACUGAGACACGGCCCAGACUCCUACGGGAGGCAGCAGUGGGGAAUCUUGGGCAAUGGGCGAAAGCCUGACCCAGCGACACUGCGUGGGUGAUGAAGAUCUUUGGAUUGUAAAACCCUUUUCCUGAAGAUGAAAGGUAGGAUUGAGAAUAUCCUUCCUACCUGACAGUAUUCAGGGAAUAAGCCCCAGCCAACUACGUGCCAGCAC
Molecule: ribosomal RNA, 513 nt
Filed under: uncultured bacterium
Lineage: Bacteria
Description: bacterial SSU rRNA
Rfam family: Bacterial small subunit ribosomal RNA
Source: RNAcentral